Molecule: ribosomal RNA, 1321 nt
Filed under: Mycetocola miduiensis
Lineage: Bacteria; Bacillati; Actinomycetota; Actinomycetes; Micrococcales; Microbacteriaceae
Description: bacterial SSU rRNA
Rfam family: Bacterial small subunit ribosomal RNA
Source: RNAcentral
UUAGUGGCGAACGGGUGAGUAACACGUGAGUAACCUGCCCUUGACUCUGGGAUAAGCGUUGGAAACGACGUCUAAUACCGGAUACGACCAGCCUCGGCAUCGAGUGUUGGUGGAAAGAAUUUUGGUCAAGGAUGGACUCGCGGCCUAUCAGGUAGUUGGUGAGGUAAUGGCUCACCAAGCCUACGACGGGUAGCCGGCCUGAGAGGGUGACCGGCCACACUGGGACUGAGACACGGCCCAGACUCCUACGGGAGGCAGCAGUGGGGAAUAUUGCACAAUGGGCGAAAGCCUGAUGCAGCAACGCCGCGUGAGGGACGACGGCCUUCGGGUUGUAAACCUCUUUUAGCAGGGAAGAAGCGAAAGUGACGGUACCUGCAGAAAAAGCACCGGCUAACUACGUGCCAGCAGCCGCGGUAAUACGUAGGGUGCAAGCGUUGUCCGGAAUUAUUGGGCGUAAAGAGCUCGUAGGCGGUUUGUCGCGUCUGCUGUGAAAACCCGAGGCUCAACCUCGGGCCUGCAGUGGGUACGGGCAGACUAGAGUGCGGUAGGGGAGAUUGGAAUUCCUGGUGUAGCGGUGGAAUGCGCAGAUAUCAGGAGGAACACCGAUGGCGAAGGCAGAUCUCUGGGCCGUUACUGACGCUGAGGAGCGAAAGGGUGGGGAGCAAACAGGCUUAGAUACCCUGGUAGUCCACCCCGUAAACGUUGGGAACUAGAUGUGGGGACCAUUCCACGGUCUCCGUGUCGCAGCUAACGCAUUAAGUUCCCCGCCUGGGGAGUACGGCCGCAAGGCUAAAACUCAAAGGAAUUGACGGGGCCCGCACAAGCGGCGGAGCAUGCGGAUUAAUUCGAUGCAACGCGAAGAACCUUACCAAGGCUUGACAUAUACCGGAAACGGCGAGAGAUCGUCGCCCCGCAAGGUCGGUAUACAGGUGGUGCAUGGUUGUCGUCAGCUCGUGUCGUGAGAUGUUGGGUUAAGUCCCGCAACGAGCGCAACCCUCGUUCUAUGUUGCCAGCACGUAAUGGUGGGAACUCAUGGGAUACUGCCGGGGUCAACUCGGAGGAAGGUGGGGACGACGUCAAAUCAUCAUGCCCCUUAUGUCUUGGGCUUCACGCAUGCUACAAUGGCCAGUACAAAGGGCUGCAAUACCGUAAGGUGGAGCGAAUCCCAAAAAGCUGGUCCCAGUUCGGAUUGAGGUCUGCAACUCGACCUCAUGAAGUCGGAGUCGCUAGUAAUCGCAGAUCAGCAACGCUGCGGUGAAUACGUUCCCGGGCCUUGUACACACCGCCCGUCAAGUCAUGAAAGUCGGUAACACCCGACGCC